This is a long non-coding RNA of Quercus lobata, 316 nucleotides long. RefSeq lists it as uncharacterized. The record is from RefSeq and is a predicted model, not a curated record. The transcript has 2 exons. Lineage: Eukaryota; Viridiplantae; Streptophyta; Magnoliopsida; Fagales; Fagaceae.
ACGAGCACUUUUUAGACCCAGAUGAGAGAGAGAGAGAGAGAGAGCGAGAGCAAGGGUUGGGGUUUGGAGAGAAUCGGGUGUAGAGAGAAGCUGAUACUUUUGGGAUCAACUUCUGGGGUUUGAUCUAGGGAGGGAAGUGAGAUUGAGAAAUUUGGUCCGAAGAAGCCACCAUCGGAGGUGGUGCUGAGUGGUGGUUGUGAUGAGCCAUGGCAGCAGAGAGAGAGGAAGAGGCUGACUGGUCCGCUUAGGAAUUGAAAUCACCUGUACUUGAACCAUGUGAUUGAGCGAUAUCAGUUAUACGAACUCCACAAAUUUC